Molecule: ribosomal RNA, 608 nt
Filed under: Colletotrichum gloeosporioides
Lineage: Eukaryota; Fungi; Ascomycota; Sordariomycetes; Glomerellales; Glomerellaceae
Description: eukaryotic LSU rRNA
Rfam family: 5.8S ribosomal RNA (bases 216-369)
Source: RNAcentral
AGUUUUGGUUUUUCCCAGAGGGGGGUAUGCGGAGGGAUCAUUACUGAGUUUACGCUCUAUAACCCUUUGUGAACAUACCUAUAACUGUUGCUUCGGCGGGUAGGGUCUCCGUGACCCUCCCGGCCUCCCGCCCCCGGGCGGGUCGGCGCCCGCCGGAGGAUAACCAAACUCUGAUUUAACGACGUUUCUUCUGAGUGGUACAAGCAAAUAAUCAAAACUUUUAACAACGGAUCUCUUGGUUCUGGCAUCGAUGAAGAACGCAGCGAAAUGCGAUAAGUAAUGUGAAUUGCAGAAUUCAGUGAAUCAUCGAAUCUUUGAACGCACAUUGCGCCCGCCAGCAUUCUGGCGGGCAUGCCUGUUCGAGCGUCAUUUCAACCCUCAAGCUCUGCUUGGUGUUGGGGCCCUACAGCUGAUGUAGGCCCUCAAAGGUAGUGGCGGACCCUCCCGGAGCCUCCUUUGCGUAGUAACUUUACGUCUCGCACUGGGAUCCGGAGGGACUCUUGCCGUAAAACCCCCCAAUUUUCCAAAGGUUGACCUCGGAUCAGGUAGGAAUACCCGCUGAACUUAAGCAUAUCAAAAGCCGGGAGGAAAAGAUUUACUGAGUUUAC